RNAcentral lists this ribosomal RNA (1746 nucleotides) under metagenome. RNAcentral's name for it is "bacterial LSU rRNA". It matches the Rfam family "Bacterial large subunit ribosomal RNA", at positions 1135 to 2925 of the family's 2925-position model. The record is from RNAcentral.
AAAUAGCUCACUAGUCGAGAGGUCCUGCGCCGAAAAUGUCCGGGGCUGAAACACGACACCGAAGCUGUGGAUCCGAAAGGAUGGUAGAGGAGCAUUCUUAAGUCGACGAAGCUGUACUGUAAGGAGCAGUGGAGAGUUAAGAAGAGAGAAUGCCGGAAUGAGUAGCGAGAUUUAAGUGAGAAUCUUAAAGGCCGAAUAUCUAAGGUUUCCAGGGUAAAGCUGAUCUUCCCUGGGUAAGUCGGGGCCUAAGGCGAGGGCGAGAGCCGUAGUCGAUGGAUAACAGGUUGAAAUUCCUGUACUGCUUAUGGACAGAACUGUGGGGACGCAGAAGGAGAGCACGAGCCGGAAAUGGAAAAGCCGGUACAAGCGUAUAGCAGUCAUGCAGGCAAAACCGCAUGAAAAAUGUAAAGCGUUAUGUGGAUCGAACAUUAGUAGAGAAGCGUGUGAGCCAGCUGCCAAGAAAAGCCGCUAUUGUUUCAUAAGUACCCGUACCGUAAACCGACACAGGUGGAUGAGGAGAGAAUCCUAAGGCCGGCGGGAGAAGUGUUGUUAAGGAACUCGGCAAAAUGACUCCGUAACUUCGGGAGAAGGAGUGCCACAGAGAUGUGGCCGCAGAGAAAUGGCCCAAGCAACUGUUUAGCAAAAACACAGGUCUAUGCAAAACCGAAAGGUGAGGUAUAUGGGCUGACGCCUGCCCGGUGCUGGAAGGUUAAGAGGAGAGGUUAGAGCAAUCGAAGCUUUGAAUUUAAGCCCCAGUAAACGGCGGCCGUAACUAUAACGGUCCUAAGGUAGCGAAAUUCCUUGUCGGGUAAGUUCCGACCCGCACGAAAGGCGUAAUGAUUUGGGCACUGUCUCAACAAUACACCCGGUGAAAUUGAAAUACCAGUGAAGAUGCUGGUUACCUGCGCCAGGACGGAAAGACCCCAUGGAGCUUUACUCCAGUUUGAUACUGGGAUUCGGUACUGUCUGUACAGGAUAGGUGGGAGGCUAGGAAAUGGUGACGCCAGUUGCCAUGGAGCCAACCUUGGGAUACCACCCUUACAGUACUGGGUUUCUAACCUGCAGCCGUAACCCGGCUGGGGGACAAUGUCUGACGGGGAGUUUGACUGGGGCGGUCGCCUCCGAAAGAGUAUCGGAGGCGCUCAAAGGUUCCCUCAGAACGGUUGGAAACCGUUCGAAGAGUGCAAAGGCAGAAGGGAGCUUGACUGCGACACCGACGGGUGGAGCAGAUACGAAAGUAGGACUUAGUGAUCCGGUGGUAUAAAGUGGGAUUGCCAUCGCUCAACGGAUAAAAGCUACCCUGGGAUAACAGGCUUAUCACUCCCAAGAGUUCACAUCGACGGAGUGGUUUGGCACCUCGAUGUCGGCUCAUCGCAUCCUGGAGCUGUAGCAGGUUCCAAGGGUUGGGCUGUUCGCCCAUUAAAGCGGUACGCGAGCUGGGUUCAGAACGUCGUGAGACAGUUCGGUCCCUAUCCGGCGUGGGCGUAGGAUAUUUGAGAGGAGCUGUCCUUAGUACGAGAGGACCGGGAUGGACAAACCUCUGGUGUAUCUGUUGUUUUACCAAAGGCAUGGCAGAGUAGCCAAGUUUGGCAGGGAUAAACGCUGAAGGCAUCUAAGCGUGAAGCCCCCCUCAAGAUAAGAUAUCCCAUCUUCGGAGUAAGACCCCUUGAAGACUACAAGGUUGAUAGGCUUCAGGUGUAAGUGCGGUAACGCACUCAGCUGAGAAGUACUAAUAGGUCGAGGACU